Molecule: long non-coding RNA, 310 nt
Filed under: Cyanistes caeruleus (blue tit)
Lineage: Eukaryota; Metazoa; Chordata; Aves; Passeriformes; Paridae
Description: lncRNA (ENSCCEG00000012171.1)
Source: RNAcentral
CCCAGAUUGGAGGAAACUGGAGGUGGGGAUGGACUUAGGGUUGCCCAAUCUGCAGUGGCCUCAGGUUGGAGCACCUGUGGGGUUUUUCCCUGGGUGGAAGAUGUGGCAUCUCUGCAGAGCCUGGAAAUUCACCCAUGUUGCAGGGGCCGUGGCAUUCCCACCUCAGCCUGAAGUGACGGCAGCCUCUCCUCAGCACGGCUGCCCCAUCCCAGCCUGGCAGGAGGGUUUUGCCUCCUGUUUGGGCAGGGUGUGUUAUCUGCCAAAAAGGAAGUUCAAAGCACUGAAGGCACAACCCCUCUCACCUCAGUGA